This is a long non-coding RNA of Pelobates fuscus (common spadefoot toad), 322 nucleotides long. RefSeq lists it as uncharacterized. The record is from RefSeq and is a predicted model, not a curated record. NCBI's taxonomy places the organism in Eukaryota, Metazoa, Chordata, Amphibia, Anura, Pelobatidae. The transcript is spliced from 3 exons.
UCCUGUUAUUAAUACUCUUAUCCUGCAUAGAUGGAGAAAUGGCAAAUCUGUAUCUAAAAAAGGGGAUUCUGUUGUUUUUACUUGUGCUGCUUCUGUUCUCGAUUUCAUACUUAUGCAGUCAUUACAGUGUGUCCAGUGCAGAUCAAAUAAAAGAAGCAAAACUUCAAAGGUAACUUAACAUCUGCAGAGAGUGUGGUAUGUUUUUGUUGUUUUCACUAAAAAUAUGGUAACAUUCGUUUUCUGAUUUCAUGUGCUUCAUCACUUUAAUCAUUAUACAAUUUAUCACUUUAUUAAAUACUUGCUGCUGAUGCCAUUGUGCAUU